Molecule: long non-coding RNA, 1441 nt
Organism: Magnolia sinica
Lineage: Eukaryota; Viridiplantae; Streptophyta; Magnoliopsida; Magnoliales; Magnoliaceae
Exons: 4
Source: RefSeq, a predicted model, not a curated record
UCUCUCUCUCUCUCUCCCAGUUGGGCGUUGUUAGUGGUGGUUUGGGGAAGGGGUUAUAUUAGGUUGUCUGGUGAUUUUUGUUUGGGUUCUGAGGAAAUUGGAUAUCAGUUUUGGGGGUGUUUGUUCUCCUGGCGUUUCUGUGGAAUUUCGUCGAGUGCAAGCCGUGCUGCUUUGGUUUGUUAGAAACUAGUCAGCUAGUUCAGAGAUUAGUUGUUUGGGGAGACCUACAUCUUUCGCGGCUGAGAAGAAGGUAAGCGUCAGAGAGAGAGAGAGAGCCGCACUCCAUCUAAACGCAGCAGCCAUGGGUUGCAUGCACAGUCGUGGAAAAGGUAUUUCUUUUUCGGCCCUUCCGUACAAGCGGACUCCGCCGAGCUGGCUGAAGAUCUCCAUUCCGAACGUCGAGGAAAAUAUCGGCGAUUGUUGUAAUGGUGUUUUCAUAAAAAUAAAAGUUGUUUGGGGAGGGGAUUAGCUUCUUUUUCUGCUGAUUUUAUCUGGGUUUUGAGGGAAUUGAAAACACAUUUAGGGGUUUUUGUUUUUCUGGUAUUUCCAAGGGAUUUCAACGAGGGUUGGGUGCUAAUGCUCUGAUUUCUUGCCAAUUCUUGCAGAAAUUGGCUGUUUCAAGAGGGGAUUAACUCUGUUCUCUGCUGAUUUUAUCUUGGUUUUGAGGAAAAUUGCAAACCCAUCUAGGAUUUCUUGAAAAACUGAGCUAACGUUUGCUCUUUCUUGAAGAGAUUAGCAUUGAUUAUCUACUGAUUUUUAGCUGGUGGUUGCUGGCAUUUAUCUGUAUCUGUGGCAUUUGCCACAUGAUCUUGUGGUUUCUUUAAGCAGUGAUUUCUAUUGUCGGGUGUGUUUGUGUAGUUCAGUAUCCUUACUUGAGGUUAGGUGUUUCUAGUUGUCAUUAGUUACUUUUAAUGUUUUGGAGCAUCUUUUCUCUUUCGUGGAUGGUUGAACAUGUGGAAAGAAUCUUGAAGAAAAAGGUGAACUUGUUGAAUGAUACUGAAGUGAUGCUUCUGUCAGCGGUUGGUGAAUCAAGCAAGGGAAGUUGUGGUAGCUCCUGGAUGGACGGUCUUACGCAUUUGGUUUAUCCAGGAGCUGUACAUUCUUGGAUCGAACAUACCCUAGGGGUGUAUUGGCUUGCUAGUGAAGUUGGUCACAAACUUCAGAUAUACCAAGUGAUGUGUACGAUGAAUCAUUGGGUCUAAUGCAGGCCAGUAGCAGCGACCACUCUGUAUGCUUUGGAUGCUGGACGUCUUUCUCAGGUUACAAGGGAAACCAAUGUUACCUAAAUCACAACUGCCCCUUCAGCUCUUCCGAAUUGUGUGACCCGGAUUAUGGGUCAUUUGCAAUCCAGGUAACUAUUUUCAGUGAUCCGAAAUUAUAGUUCUAUGUUGUAAUGUAAAUUUAUAUUAGAGCAUAGAAAUUUAUAGUUUGAUUUAUGCAA